Long non-coding RNA from Ostrinia nubilalis (European corn borer), 493 nucleotides. RefSeq lists it as uncharacterized. The transcript is spliced from 3 exons. Lineage: Eukaryota; Metazoa; Arthropoda; Insecta; Lepidoptera; Crambidae. The record is from RefSeq and is a predicted model, not a curated record.
UAUAAUGCACAGUGCAGGUAAUAUUCAACGUCGCGGCGUGCGGCUCCCGCGCCGCGAGUGCUAAGUUCAAGGCAUCCGUUGCUCAACACCAGCAGCACUGCCUUGUCCCCGCGCCGCGCUAGAACAAUGGAGACAAACGCAGUGUCGACCCGUCACUUUACCUACAAAGCCUCGCGUUUCACGGACUCAUAAAUAAACACAACAUUUUAGAAGUUACGCAAACAGAAAAUAUUUCAUUGUAGGGUAGAAGUUAUUUAAGUACAUACGAGGUAUAUUCAGAAAACAUGGGGAAUUUUAAAAUUUCUUAACAGCGGAGUUGCCAAGCACUCAAGCACUUCAGGGGAUCAAACAUUAUAUCUCGCAGCUCAAUAAAAGUGCCUCGCCCAAGUCAAGAAAGAAUCGGAGUCGAGCAAGCUGAAGCUGAAGCCGAAGCGGCGCUCGAGGCGACUCCCUGCUCGCGACCUACGGGGACGAAUCCGACACCGUCCAGAGA